RNAcentral lists this ribosomal RNA (497 nucleotides) under uncultured bacterium. Its description in RNAcentral is "partial 16S ribosomal RNA". It matches the Rfam family "Bacterial small subunit ribosomal RNA", at positions 28 to 507 of the family's 1533-position model. The record is from RNAcentral.
GAUGAACGCUGGCGGCGUGCCUAAUACAUGCAAGUCGAGCGAACGGACGAGAAGCUUGCUUCUCUGAUGUUAGCGGCGGACGGGUGAGUAACACGUGGAUAACCUACCUAUAAGACUGGGAUAACUUCGGGAAACCGGAGCUAAUACCGGAUAAUAUUUUGAACCGCAUGGUUCAAAAGUGAAAGACGGUCUUGCUGUCACUUAUAGAUGGAUCCGCGCUGCAUUAGCUAGUUGGUAAGGUAACGGCUUACCAAGGCAACGAUGCAUAGCCGACCUGAGAGGGUGAUCGGCCGCACUGGAACUGGGACACGGUCCAGACUCCUACGGGAGGCAGCAGUAGGGAAUCUUCCGCAAUAGGCGAAAGCCUGACGGAGCAGCGCCACGUGAGUGAUGAAGGUCUUCGGAUCGUAAAACUCUGUUAUUAGGGAAGAACAUAUGUGUAAGUAACUGUGCACAUCUUGACGGUACCUAAUCAGAAAGCCACGGCUAACUACGUG